Molecule: transfer RNA, 97 nt
Filed under: Coriobacteriales bacterium
Lineage: Bacteria; Bacillati; Actinomycetota; Coriobacteriia; Coriobacteriales
Description: tRNA-Sec
Rfam family: Selenocysteine transfer RNA
Source: RNAcentral
GGAGAUGGAUGGGGCCUGGUGGCCCCCACGGCCUUCAAAGCCGCUGUGAGGCGCGCAGAACGUCUCGGGUGUGUUCGAUUCGCACACAUCUCCGCCA